RNAcentral lists this ribosomal RNA (460 nucleotides) under uncultured bacterium. RNAcentral's name for it is "partial 16S ribosomal RNA". It matches the Rfam family "Bacterial small subunit ribosomal RNA", at positions 338 to 795 of the family's 1533-position model. The record is from RNAcentral.
CCUACGUGGGGCAGCAGUGAGGAAUAUUGGUCAAUGGACGAGAGUCUGAACCAGCAAAGUAGCGUGAAGGAUGACUGCCCUAUGGGUUGUAAACUUCUUUUAUAAAGGAAUAAAACGAGGCACGUGUGCCUGUUUGCAUGUACUUUAUGAAUAAGGAUCGGCUAACUCCGUGCCAGCAGCCGCGGUAAUACGGAGGAUCCGAUCGUUAUCCGGAUUUAUUGGGCUUAAAGGGAGCGUAGAUGGGUUGUUAAGUCAGUUGUGAAAGUUUGCGGCUCAACCGUAAAAUUGCAAUUGAUACUGGCAGUCUUGAGUACAGUUGAGGUAGGCGGAAUUCGUGGUGUAGCGGUGAAAUGCUUAGAUAUCACGAAGAACACCGAUUGCGAAGGCAGCUUACUAAACUGUGACUGACAUUGAGGCUCGAAAGUGUGGGUAUCAAACAGGAUUAGAUACCCCAGUAGUC